RNAcentral lists this small RNA (286 nucleotides) under Microcebus murinus (gray mouse lemur). RNAcentral's name for it is "Metazoan signal recognition particle RNA (ENSMICG00000030440.2)". The record is from RNAcentral. Lineage: Eukaryota; Metazoa; Chordata; Mammalia; Primates; Cheirogaleidae.
CCUGGCAUGGUGGUGCAUGCCUGUAGUCCCAGCUACUCGGGAGGCUGAGGCAGGAGGAUCGCUUGAGUCAAGGAGUUUGAAGUUGCUGUGAGCUAGGCUGACGCCACUGCACUCUAGCUUGGGCAACAGAGUGAGACUUAUGGGCUGCUAGUUACACUGGAAUGUAAGUGAUUUUUUUUUUUUUGAGACAGAGUCUUACUCUGUUGCCCUGGCUAGAGUGAGUGCCAUGGCGUCAGCCUAGCUCACAGCAACCUCAAACACCUGGGCUCAAGCAAUCCUCCUGCCU